GACGAACGCUGGCGGCGUGCUUAACACAUGCAAGUCGAACGGAAAGGCCCUGCUUUUGUGGGGUACUCGAGUGGCGAACGGGUGAGUAACACGUGAGUAACCUGCCCUUGACUUUGGGAUAACUUCAGGAAACUGGGGCUAAUACCGGAUAGGAGCUCCUGCUGCAUGGUGGGGGUUGGAAAGUUUCGGCGGUUGGGGAUGGACUCGCGGCUUAUCAGCUUGUUGGUGGGGUAGUGGCUUACCAAGGCUUUGACGGGUAGCCGGCCUGAGAGGGUGAACGGCCACAUUGGGACUGAGAUACGGCCCAGACUCCUCCGGGGGGCAUCAGUGGCGAAUAUGGCACAAUGGGCGGAAGCCCGAUGCAGCACCGCCGCGUGCGGGAUGACGGCCUUCGGGUUUUAGACCGCUUUCGCCUGUGAUGGAGUGUGAGUGACGGUAAUGGGUAAAGAAUCACGGGCUAACUACGUG
This 468-nucleotide ribosomal RNA is filed under the name uncultured bacterium. RNAcentral's name for it is "partial 16S ribosomal RNA". It matches the Rfam family "Bacterial small subunit ribosomal RNA", at positions 28 to 507 of the family's 1533-position model. The record is from RNAcentral.